Molecule: non-coding RNA, 2784 nt
Organism: Oncorhynchus mykiss (rainbow trout)
Lineage: Eukaryota; Metazoa; Chordata; Actinopteri; Salmoniformes; Salmonidae
Source: RefSeq, a predicted model, not a curated record
GCUAUAUCGGACAAAUUUAUGAAAACAAAAUGUCGGGUUUUGGUCUUAAUUUAAGGUUAUGGUUAGGCAUAAAGUGAGCAAUGUGGUAAAGGUUAGGACUGAAAUUAGGUUUAGCUGUAAAAAUCUGCUUUUAAGAAGAUAGAUUGUAGAAAUGGGCGGGGUUUAUGAGUUUGUGGCUGUGGUAGCUAGUGUCGACCAUCCCGAACCGAACUGGAGUUAGUGGUUUUCAGGAAAGAACACGCAUAGGAUUUCAUAAUGACAGAGCGGGUCAACAACUUCCCACUGCUGCCUAAGUUCCUGCGAAUCAAGCCCUGCUUUUACCAGAAUGUGGAGGAGGAGAUCCCAGCCCCGCACCGACAGCUGGUGCGCAGGGUCUACAACCUCUGGAUGUUGUAUUCAGUCACACUGUGUGUGAACGUGGUGUCAUGCAUAGCUUGGUGGGCAGGAGGGGGAAGUGCAGCCAAUUUUGGCCUUUCCCUGCUCUGGCUUCUUCUCUUCAGUCCGUGCAGCUACACAUGCUGGUUUAGACCUCUCUACAAGGCCUUUCGUGUGUUUUCGCUCUCAUUCAGACUGUGGGCAUCUCUGGUUGGGGUGCUUGGUAAGUAUGGAUAUUUUAUUUCCUCAAGCCUGGAAGGGACUGUCUAGGACUUUGGCUGCUAUAUCUGAAUGGCUUGUGUUUCACUUACCUCAGGAAUAUAGAAAAAUCUUCAGUUUGGCAAUAAAGAUCACCUGUAGAGUAUGUAUCAAUGCCACCUUAAUUUUACUCACCUCAGUGUCAUGCUGUGAUAGGUGAAUAACUACGGUUGAUGUAAUCCAGUAUUCAUGCCAUUGACAAAUACUAACCCCACUGCUCCACCACAAACCCCCAAAGUGGUUGGAUCGCGACAGUGCUGUUUUUCAGUUACAACGUGGGUUCUGCUGUAGUCAUGCUAUUCUCAGCUCUGCUCUUUACUCUGGUGACUGUGUUGAUGGGAUUGGUUCUCAUCAGGGUGAGUCCAACGUGCGCGCACACACACACCUGAAAAAUGCACGAGCACCCGGAAACACAUACACAAACCAGAAAAAAUACCCCCCGCCGUUUUGACAAUUAUCAUUGUAGGCAAGGAAAGAUAAUUAACUUUCAUGACUGUAUGACUGGUUGGUUUAUCUGCUCUGCUUCUAUCAGGUUCAUGGGAUGUACCGUGGCGGAGGGGGCAGCUUUGAGCGUGCACAGGAAGAGUGGACCACUGGACUCUGGAAGAGUGCCCCUGUGAGAGAGGCCGGCUUCAAUGCUAUCAAUGAAACUGGCCCAAGCCUACCCCAAUACCCCGCUGUGCCAAGCUACCCAGACAAUGGCCCCUGGUAAAUAAAACCCUAAGUGGACUCUAGAUGGAGACGGAGCACUUUAUUCCAUGGCAUGCAAGAUAGUCCACCACGCCACACUAGUACAAUCUCACCUUGACACUAUAUGAAAUGCAUAGCUGGAAUUUAAGUAAGAAUGUUAAGGGGAAAAAAGGCAUAAUUAGCUGACUUUAUUCAGCAGUACUUUGUUUUAGACCUUAAGAGGCCACUGUUAUAGACAUUGUUUACUGGAGUGGGAAGCUUUUCCAGGGAAACACAUCUAAGCCUUAUAUUGUUGGAAAAAUGUGUGAUGGAGAUUCAAAAUAUGAUCCAUUACAUGUUUACAUUUAUUUUCUACUCUCAAAAUAUUAAUCUGUUCCCUCAUAUUUGAAAGAGCGACUGGAGAAAAUGUUUAUUUUUAUUUUGUACUUGGAGAGCUAGGGGUCUUUAUAUUACAGUAGCAGAAUUAAUACUGUUCAACAAAAUUGAUAUGUCUGAAACAGAAAAGAAGCAAGGUGAUUCCAAAGUUGUUUUUGGAUCAAUUUUGGCAGCCAUAUUCGGUGAUCAAUUCUUGCCAGUACAAUACUGUACUUCAUGAAAUCAACAAAAGCCUUAACACUACUUGACAUGACUGAAGGAUCAGGGUCCUCUCCUUGAAGUUGGAUGUUUAUAUAGUGCAUUUUUUAUUUAGUGAUGAGAUGUAUUUAGUUUUUUAUUGAUAUUACAAGUGUUUGUUUUUGAUACCUUUUCUUCUUGCUUGAUCUGCUUUUGCCUUGUUUCUGAAAACUAAAUGCGCCUUAAUCGUACAUGAGGUAUUUGCAUGUUAAUUAUUUUCCCCCCCUUGACUGUCGCCUUAAGUGCUGCUACUAGACAAAGCCAAUGAGAAAUGUGCUUAAACACAUCACUAAUGCUAGAUACUGUAUCCUUCUAAUUCAACCUGAGCCUUUUAUAUUUCACUCAUCCUGUGGAGUGCACUGAUCUUUCUUUGCUUUUGAUGGUCAGUGCCCUGUUGUAAUACCCCUUCUCUCUAGCCAGUGCUCCAAAACAGCUCAUCUCAGUCAGUGUGUUCCAGGCUGGAGCUUUGUGUUUACAAUGUGGUUGGGAGAGCGGCAGCCACUCAUCUUGAAUAGAAAAAUCAAAUAAUAAGUUAAGUCACAUACUCAAGUGUUCAUCGCCAGGGUUAACUACCAUAGAGGUUUAUUUUUAAUUUUUGUUUGCUUUGUAUUGCUUGUCUGUAAUGCAUGUCAUUCUGUAGUGAAUAUUUAGAAGACAUUCUUGAAAAUGCUUAAAAUGUGUUGCUGCAAUGACUAAGCCUAGCACGAACCACCCUGAUCUUGCAAGCUUUCAUUCUGUUUCGCUACACAGAUACUGUGUCCGUGGAGUGAAACAGAAUGUAAGCUUGCGAGAUCAGGAUGGGUCGUACGAGACUAGCAAUGACUCACUACCAUAAACAUUUCAAUCAAA